GCAGCCAUCAUCACUAUAAACACUAUAAGGGAGAUUGGGUGCCACAGAAGGCUCAAGAACAAGAUUAUCAGUAUUAUUAUGGCGUAGUUCAUGCCAAAGUAAGCGGCGUUAGUCUUCAGUCGGACCAGAGCUUCUGCUAGAUUGGUAGGGAGCUUAAAAGAAUGGAAAUUGAACAUUAUUUUCCAUGGUCUGCGAGUGCCUAACCCUUCUUUGAUCCUUUCUUUAGCUCGAGAUAUGUACUCGAUGUUGGUGGUGGCUCCCGGCGACGAUGCGGUUGGGAUCGUGCCAUAUGUGGUCAUUUUCCGGUUAGGUUCCGGAGGAGUUUUUGGCCGGGUAGAGAAGUUUGACCUUUUGGUGAUUGUGUCAAAGAGAGAACGAGGGAAGGUGUG
Molecule: unclassified non-coding RNA, 389 nt
Filed under: Hevea brasiliensis (rubber tree)
Lineage: Eukaryota; Viridiplantae; Streptophyta; Magnoliopsida; Malpighiales; Euphorbiaceae
Source: RNAcentral